This is a non-coding RNA of Manis javanica (Malayan pangolin), 1794 nucleotides long. The record is from RefSeq and is a predicted model, not a curated record. Lineage: Eukaryota; Metazoa; Chordata; Mammalia; Pholidota; Manidae.
GGGGGCUGAGAAAGACGACGAGGUCGGCAUCAGAUCGGCCUCUGAGGGACGUGCCUUUGCCUUAGGAGCCACCCUAAAAUCAGUACAAGCACAGUGCAAAGAGAAAAGGGAGCCCGAGAAAUCAGGAAGCAUAAAGAGCACCAUGAUCCUGAAACUCAAAGACUACCCCUGUGCACAUUUCGGUGUACAUCUCCCCAGACACUCGUACCAGUGUUUCAAGCGCUCUCCCUUGGCUGAGAUCCCCAGCUGGCAGCCUCCUGGGGGACAAGAUGGGAAGAUAGGGGCAGAUGGGCAGAGUGGAGGGAUGCAUGGGACUUGCAUUUUGGACCGAAAUGUCUAUUUGGGGAAAACCUGCCACCAAGCAGACCCCCCUCCACCAAGCAGAUCCAUUUCUCUAUGGACAAUUACUGGCAUGAUGUUAUGAGUACUACUGGCCUUCUCUGCCUACAGACCAUGUACCCAAGAACCUGCAAGGACCCCCUAUGAUGGCAUCAAGUCAUUCCUAAAUCAUCUGUUUUCUAGGACGUUCUACAAAUCACCACCCUACUCCCUGAUAAUUCUCUGCUACUACUUCUGGGUUCUCAUUGCCUAUUUCCAGAGUCAGUUUUGUCACCCGAGCAACCCUCCCUCCACACCUUUGCUCCCACUAUGUCCGCUGCCUGGGGUUCCCUGCCUGCUCCAUCUUUAGUGACUGUUCUUCCUCACCAUUUGGAGGGGGCUGCGAAAAUCAGAACCUUCAUCCUGGACUUGCCAAUAGAUUAAGGAGAUAGCCAUUGCACCCUGUUGUCCACAGAGGCCACAGACCCCAAUCUGCUGUGAUUUAACUAUUCCGCUGGAGGUGAUUUAUUCAGUAAAUAACCAAUUGUGAUUGAAUCUUCCUGGCUUGGUGAGCUCUUUCAUCUAAAGGCAUCUGCAGGUGAGACCCAAAUCAGGCCCAUGGGGCCCAACUUAGCCUUUAGACAAUGUGGCUACACGCAGGAAAGGCCCCCUCUCAGCUCUGUACAGCUCCAGAUAAGGCUCUCGUCUCCUGGGAGGACAGAAGAUGGGGUUUUCUCUGGGAGCUGGGAACACUCACCAAUGUAAUCGUUGGACUUGCCGAUGUCAUAGUCCCAGACUGAGAUGUCCAGGGACUUCUUCGCCAGGUCACUGUGUUUGAUAUCGUAGAAAAACUCCUGGAUGCAGCAGGUGAAGACAUGUGAAUGAGAGGGUGCUCUGGACCCCCAGCAUCGGGGACUGAGACUGAGCCCUAGGGGCUCGCGAGCGGAAGGAUGCAAGAGGGCCUUGCCACUCUGCACCUGGCAACCUCCGUUCGGCAAACACUUUAUUAUAAAGUCCCCCCAGCCUGUCAUUCUCUCUUCAAGGACUCUCUGAUACUGGGGAGGCUGCCAGGGUUUUUCUAAGAGAACUGGUCCUGGUCAAGUUUGCUUGAAGGCAAAUGGCCAUGAACUCGGUCUUUCCAUUCCGGUAGCUUCUGAAGUGGGUCUACCCCUCUCCCCAUCAUUUACAGAUGAAGGGUCAUUGAGGGGACUGAGACUGAUGUGACGGUUAAGUGCUUAUGUUUCCAGACAAUCUGAUUUCUUACAUAACUUUUCUACUUAAUUAUAAAAUUCAUUCAUGCUCAUCAUUAAAACAAAUAAGAAAAAAACCCCAAAACUUGUAAUUUAACUAUAAGAAAACCACUGUCAACCUUCUCCAUGUGCGACCACAUUGAUAUUUUUUAAUUUUAAUAUGAAUAUUAAUUUGAACAUUAUUUGAAAUAUUUGAUUAUGUGAAAUAUAAUAUGAAUAUACCUUU